This 392-nucleotide unclassified non-coding RNA is filed under the name Hevea brasiliensis (rubber tree). Lineage: Eukaryota; Viridiplantae; Streptophyta; Magnoliopsida; Malpighiales; Euphorbiaceae. The record is from RNAcentral.
AUGGAUGUGUCCUGCUGCCAAUACCUUAUGAUUAGAUUAUGUUGACAAAGUUCAACUGACUGAAAAAAGGGGGAAAUACCUUUUGGUUCAACUCUCCUGCAAAGUCUAGUUAGCUGAAGUUUGACUGAAGCAUAACUGAACAUGGUAUCAUAUUUUCUUUUAUCAUUCAAAUUUGUGCACGAUCAGUAAACCUUCCUUUUCCUGUCCUAGGUUUCAAUAGGAUACUUUUCCUAUCAUAUUGGAUGUCAUAGUCGUGUUUCAUUGUCUUGUUCUGCCCAUGCUAAUGCUGGAUUUUCUUCCUAGCAGGAAAGACCUUGCAUCUUUGUUGCUGCAACUUGAUGAAUAAUUUCAUUUUAAUAUCUGCAGCUCACCGGCUAUGUUAUAUGGUAGUG